GACGAACGCUGGCGGCGUGCUUAACACAUGCAAGUCGAACGGAAAAGCCCUGCUUUUGUGGGGUGCUCGAGUGGCGAACGGGUGAGUAACACGUGAGUAACCUGCCCUUGACUUUGGGAUAACUUCAGGAAACUGGGGCUAAUACCGGAUAGGAGCUCCUGCUGCAUGGUGGGGGUUGGAAAGUUUCGGCGGUUGGGGAUGGACUCGCGGCUUAUCAGCUUGUUGGUGGGGUAGUGGCUUACCAAGGCUUUGACGGGUAGCCGGCCUGAGAGGGUGACCGGCCACAUUGGGACUGAGAUACGGCCCAGACUCCUACGGGAGGCAGCAGUGGGGAAUAUUGCACAAUGGGCGGAAGCCUGAUGCAGCAACGCCGCGUGCGGGAUGACGGCCUUCGGGUUGUAAACCGCUUUCGCCUGUGACCAAGCGUGAGUGACGGUAAUGGGUAAAGAAGCACCGGCUAACUACGUG
RNAcentral lists this ribosomal RNA (468 nucleotides) under uncultured bacterium. Its description in RNAcentral is "partial 16S ribosomal RNA". It matches the Rfam family "Bacterial small subunit ribosomal RNA", at positions 28 to 507 of the family's 1533-position model. The record is from RNAcentral.